UGCCUGCCCUGUGACUUGUUAGUUUAACGGCCGCGGUAUUUUGACCGUGCAAAGGUAGCGUAAUCACUUGUCUUUUAAAUGGAGACCAGUAUGAAUGGCACAACGAGGGCCAAGCUGUCUCCUUUUUCUAGUCAAUGAAAUUGAUCCUCCUGUGCAGAAGCAGGAAUAAUUACAUAAGACGAGAAGACCCUAUGGAGCUUCAGACACAAGAUAGCUCAUGUUAAGAAACCAAAUUAAUGGAAGAAACAAAAUGAUUUCUAUCCUAAUGUCUUUGGUUGGGGCGACCAUGGAGCAACAAAAAUCCCCCAUGUGGAAUAGGGCCUUCUCCCUUAAAGCUAGAGCCACAGCUCCUGCAAACAGAACAUCUGACCAACAAGAUCCGGCAAAGCCGAUCAACGGACCAAGUUACCCUAGGGAUAACAGCGCAAUCCCCUUUUAGAGCCCAUAUCGACAAGGGGGUUUACGACCUCGAUGUUGGAUCAGGACAUCCUAAUGGUGCAGCCGCUAUUAAGGGUUUGUUUGUUCAACAAUUAAAGUCCUACGUGAU
Molecule: ribosomal RNA, 547 nt
Filed under: Paratrypauchen microcephalus (comb goby)
Lineage: Eukaryota; Metazoa; Chordata; Actinopteri; Gobiiformes; Gobiidae
Description: partial 16S rRNA
Rfam family: Bacterial large subunit ribosomal RNA
Source: RNAcentral